Molecule: ribosomal RNA, 1072 nt
Filed under: Salmonella enterica subsp. enterica serovar Richmond
Lineage: Bacteria; Pseudomonadati; Pseudomonadota; Gammaproteobacteria; Enterobacterales; Enterobacteriaceae
Description: partial 23S ribosomal RNA
Rfam family: Bacterial large subunit ribosomal RNA
Source: RNAcentral
AAAAAAGGUAAGCUACUAAGAGCGAAUGGUGGAUGCCUUGACUGGUAAAGGCGAUGAAGGACGUACUAGACUGCGAUAAGCUACGGGGAGCUGUCAAGAAGCUUUGAUCCGUAGAUUUCCGAAUGGGGCAACCCAAUGUAUAGAGAUAUACAUUACCUAUAUAGGAGCGAACGAGGGGAAUUGAAACAUCUUAGUACCCUCAGGAAAAGAAAUCAAUAGAGAUUGCGUCAGUAGCGGCGAGCGAAAGCGCAAGAGGGCAAACCCAGUGCUUGCACUGGGGGUUGUAGGACUGCAAUGUGCAAGAGCUGAGUUUAGCAGAACAUUCUGGAAAGUAUAGCCAUAGAGGGUGAUAGUCCCGUAUGCGAAAAACAAAGCUUAGCUAGCAGUAUCCUGAGUAGGGCGGGACACGAGGAAUCCUGUCUGAAUCUGGGUCGACCACGAUCCAACCCUAAAUACUAAUACCAGAUCGAUAGUGCACAAGUACCGUGAGGGAAAGGUGAAAAGAACUGAGGUGAUCAGAGUGAAAUAGAACCUGAAACCAUUUGCUUACAAUCAUUCAGAGCACUAUGUAGCAAUACAGUGUGAUGGACUGCCUUUUGCAUAAUGAGCCUGCGAGUUGUGGUGUCUGGCAAGGUUAAGCAAACGCGAAGCCGUAGCGAAAGCGAGUCUGAAUAGGGCGCUUAGUCAGAUGCUGCAGACCCGAAACGAAGUGAUCUAUCCAUGAGCAAGUUGAAGCUAGUGUAAGAACUAGUGGAGGACUGAACCCAUAGGCGUUGAAAAGCCCCGGGAUGACUUGUGGAUAGGGGUGAAAGGCCAAUCAAACUUCGUGAUAGCUGGUUCUCUCCGAAAUAUAUUUAGGUAUAGCGUUGUGUCGUAAUAUAAGGGGGUAGAGCACUGAAUGGGCUAGGGCAUACACCAAUGUACCAAACCCUAUCAAACUCCGAAUACCUUAUAUGUAAUCACAGCAGUCAGGCGGCGAGUGAUAAAAUCCGUCGUCAAGAGGGAAACAACCCAGACUACCAGCUAAGGUCCCUAAAUCUUACUUAAGUGGAAAACGAUGUGAAGUUACUUA